This 857-nucleotide ribosomal RNA is filed under the name Enterococcus faecium. Its description in RNAcentral is "bacterial SSU rRNA". It matches the Rfam family "Bacterial small subunit ribosomal RNA", at positions 49 to 877 of the family's 1533-position model. Lineage: Bacteria; Bacillati; Bacillota; Bacilli; Lactobacillales; Enterococcaceae. The record is from RNAcentral.
CUAUACAUGCAGUCGUACGCUUCUUUUUCCACCGGAGCUUGCUCCACCGGAAAAAGAAGAGUGGCGAACGGGUGAGUAACACGUGGGUAACCUGCCCAUCAGAAGGGGAUAACACUUGGAAACAGGUGCUAAUACCGUAUAACAAUCGAAACCGCAUGGUUUUGAUUUGAAAGGCGCUUUCGGGUGUCGCUGAUGGAUGGACCCGCGGUGCAUUAGCUAGUUGGUGAGGUAACGGCUCACCAAGGCCACGAUGCAUAGCCGACCUGAGAGGGUGAUCGGCCACAUUGGGACUGAGACACGGCCCAAACUCCUACGGGAGGCAGCAGUAGGGAAUCUUCGGCAAUGGACGAAAGUCUGACCGAGCAACGCCGCGUGAGUGAAGAAGGUUUUCGGAUCGUAAAACUCUGUUGUUAGAGAAGAACAAGGAUGAGAGUAACUGUUCAUCCCUUGACGGUAUCUAACCAGAAAGCCACGGCUAACUACGUGCCAGCAGCCGCGGUAAUACGUAGGUGGCAAGCGUUGUCCGGAUUUAUUGGGCGUAAAGCGAGCGCAGGCGGUUUCUUAAGUCUGAUGUGAAAGCCCCCGGCUCAACCGGGGAGGGUCAUUGGAAACUGGGAGACUUGAGUGCAGAAGAGGAGAGUGGAAUUCCAUGUGUAGCGGUGAAAUGCGUAGAUAUAUGGAGGAACACCAGUGGCGAAGGCGGCUCUCUGGUCUGUAACUGACGCUGAGGCUCGAAAGCGUGGGGAGCAAACAGGAUUAGAUACCCUGGUAGUCCACGCCGUAAACGAUGAGUGCUAAGUGUUGGAGGGUUUCCGCCCUUCAGUGCUGCAGCUAACGCAUUAAGCACUCCGCCUGGG